This 619-nucleotide ribosomal RNA is filed under the name Kwoniella dejecticola. RNAcentral's name for it is "eukaryotic LSU rRNA". It matches the Rfam family "Eukaryotic large subunit ribosomal RNA", at positions 52 to 657 of the family's 3401-position model. Lineage: Eukaryota; Fungi; Basidiomycota; Tremellomycetes; Tremellales; Cryptococcaceae. The record is from RNAcentral.
GGAGGAAAAGAAACUAACAAGGAUUCCCCUAGUAACGGCGAGUGAACCGGGAAGAGCUCAAAUUUGAAAUCUGGCGUCCUCAGGGCGUCCGAGUUGUAAUCUAUAGAGGCGUUUUCCGCGCCGGACCGUGUAUAAGUCUCCUGGAACGGAGUAUCAAAGAGGGUGACAAUCCCGUGCUUUACACGACGACCGGUGCUAUGUGAUACGUCUUCUACGAGUCGAGUUGUUUGGGAAUGCAGCUCAAAACGGGUGGUAAACUCCAUCUAAAGCUAAAUAUUGGUGGGAGACCGAUAGCGAACAAGUACCGUGAGGGAAAGAUGAAAAGCACUUUGGAAAGAGAGUUAAACAGUAUGUGAAAUUGUUGAAAGGGAAACGAUUGAAGUCAGUCGUGUCCAUUGGGUUCAGCCGGUCCUGCCGGUCUACUCCCUUUGGACGGGUCAACAUCAGUUCUGAUCGGCGGAUAAUGGCACGAGGAACGUGGCACCCUCCGGGGUGUGUUAUAGCCUCGCGUCGCAUACGCUGGUCGGGACUGAGGAACGCAGCUCGCCCUCACGGGCCGGGGUUCGCCCACGUCCGAGCUUAGGAUGUUGACAUAAUGGCUUUAAACGACCCGUCUUGA